This 375-nucleotide ribosomal RNA is filed under the name uncultured beta proteobacterium. RNAcentral describes it as "bacterial SSU rRNA". It matches the Rfam family "Bacterial small subunit ribosomal RNA", at positions 521 to 896 of the family's 1533-position model. The record is from RNAcentral. Lineage: Bacteria; Pseudomonadati; Pseudomonadota; Betaproteobacteria.
UAAUACGUAGGGUGCGAGCGUUAAUCGGAAUUACUGGGCGUAAAGCGUGCGCAGGCGGCUUUGCAAGACAGAUGUGAAAUCCCCGGGCUCAACCUGGGAACUGCAUUUGUGACUGCAAGGCUAGAGUACGGCAGAGGGGGAUGGAAUUCCGCGUGUAGCAGUGAAAUGCGUAGAUAUGCGGAGGAACACCAAUGGCGAAGGCAAUCCCCUGGGCCUGUACUGACGCUCAUGCACGAAAGCGUGGGGAGCAAACAGGAUUAGAUACCCUGGUAGUCCACGCCCUAAACGAUGUCAACUGGUUGUUGGACGGCUUGCUGUUCAGUAACGAAGCUAACGCGUGAAGUUGACCGCCUGGGGAGUACGGCCGCAAGGUUG